UUUAGUGAGGGAAAUUUUAAGUUUGAUUGUGGCUUAGGUUUGGUUAAGAUGGUGUUAUCUAGUUUUGAUUCAUUUGGUGGGCAAUGAGUAUUGACCCUGGCAGAGUGUCAUUUGUAUAUAGCCUGUUCCAGAAUAAUCGGCUAGGCAGGUUAAGUUGGAACUCUAAUUGUUUUAAAAUUAGGUUUGGAAGUGGUGUGUUAAGAGUUCUAAGGUGAAAUUGGGUAUUGUUUGUGUGAGGGACCUGAUUUGUGAGAUUUAAUCGAUGAACCAGAUUAGUACCUGGGUAAUUAAAAUUAAUGAGAGCAGGAGUAAAGUGAUGUUUAAACUGAAACAAUAUUGGCAGGUUUCUAAAUUAUCUUUGAAGGUUGAACUGUGAUUGAGAGCCCUCAUUUACGGCUUUGAUUUUUGUCUUAUGUAUGAUCGUUUUUCUUAUUCUUAAGGAUUGUGAGUUUAAGUUGUUAGUUGUAAAAAUAGAUAUAUAUUUAGUUUAUGUUGAAGUUUGUUUUGACCUACAAUACUUAUUGGUGUGGAUCAGAGAGGUAGGGAAUUCUGUGAAAAUGUAAAAGACAGUAAGUUGCUUUUUAUGGGUAGCUGAAGAUUUAUUUAGGGACGGUACAAAUCAUCCAUCAAUUGCCCAAAGGGGAGUAAGUUGUAGUAAAGUAGGGCUAGGGGAACCUGGCCCUAGUAGAGG
RNAcentral lists this non-coding RNA (691 nucleotides) under Ascaridia sp. GHL-2013. Lineage: Eukaryota; Metazoa; Nematoda; Chromadorea; Rhabditida; Ascaridiidae. The record is from RNAcentral.